GGGGAAUUUUCCGCAAUGGGCGAAAGCCUGACGGAGCAAUACCGCGUGAGGGAGGAAGGCUCUUGGGUUGUAAACCUCUUUUCUCAGGGAAUAAGAACUGAAGGUACCUGAGGAAUCAGCAUCGGCUAACUCCGUGCCAGCAGCCGCGGUAAUACGGAGGAUGCAAGCGUUAUCCGGAAUGAUUGGGCGUAAAGCGUCCGCAGGUGGUUUAUCAAGUCCGCUGUCAAAGAGUUUGGCUCAACCAAAUAAAGGCAGUGGAAACUGACAGACUGGAGUGCGGUAAGGGCAGAGGGAAUUCCUGGUGUAGCGGUGAAAUGCGUAGAGAUCAGGAAGAACACCGGUGGCGAAAGCGCUCUGCUGGGCCGUAACUGACACUGAGGGACGAAAGCUAGGGGAGCGAAUGGGAUUAGAUACCCCAGUAGUC
RNAcentral lists this ribosomal RNA (424 nucleotides) under uncultured cyanobacterium. Its description in RNAcentral is "bacterial SSU rRNA". It matches the Rfam family "Bacterial small subunit ribosomal RNA", at positions 356 to 795 of the family's 1533-position model. Lineage: Bacteria; Bacillati; Cyanobacteriota. The record is from RNAcentral.